GGGUGCUUCAUUCGGAGUAAAGUCUCAAGGAGUCUCAUUCCUGAUUUGAAGUGACCCACAUGGGUUCACAGUUCUCUCUCAGAACACGUACUCCUUUGAUUUUCUUGAAAGCCUUUGGAAAGCCUUGGGACACCUGUAGGUUCCACUGUGUGCCUGGAAGUAAAGGAUUCCGAGACGGUCGAGGCACAAGUUGGGAGAGCCUGACCCCUGAGCCACUGCUGAGAGGACAUCCUUCUGGGAGAGUAGCUGACCUGCACUGGACCUUGUGAACAUGAGAAACAAAUUUUCACUUUGCAAUCAGUAUGGACUCUGUUGGAAUGUAAUGUGUCAAUUUGGUUUCAUGCCUCAUCACACUGGCAGAUAGAAGAGGGUAAUGGCUGCUUUGGGGAGUGGAGGAAGCCAAAAAGAAGGCAAAGAGUGAAGACAGAGAAACAAGAUGUCAGUGGUGGUGCUGAGAAGGAAUAGAGAGACUUUUCUUCGUGCUAAGGGCCGCAGAGGGAGGAAUCCAGCUGAGGACUACACAGAAGCAUCUGGCUCCAGGAAUAACAGAUCAAAUGGUGACGAACUCCUUCAAAAUGUGACAACUUGGACAAAAGUCUGCUUAAAUCUUUCUGGAUGCAAACGAAUUUUGCCCUUUUGUGUAGAAACUAGUCCUAGCACAGAGAGAAGGGAAUUCAAUUUGGAUCUCAAGACCCCAGAGGAAGCCCUGGAUUUACUCCUUACUGGCUGUGUGAUCUUAGGGCAGCCAGAUGAAGACAGCUGAGAAGAGGAGGCCCAGUUGCAGGAAUGGGCUAAGUACUUGUGGAGGGCAGUGAAAUCAAUGGUUUGCUGCAGGCAGAAAAAAGAACAUGAAAUGGGCAACUGGGCAUUGUUUAAGCUGUUGGUUCACAUCAAGGAGCAACAAUACUAAAGAACUGGUAGAGAGAAGGCUCUAGAAACAGGAAAUAUUGGCAGGCUAGACCAAGUGCACCAAAAGUAUUUCAAAACUUUUGAGAUUAAGUGCUAGUUCAUGUCUGAGUAACACAAAACCAACAGACUGUGGCUUGGGAACCACAGCAUCAUUCUUAUGAAGGAAUUCUGGGAAAAGCUCAAGAGCUUCUCUCUCUGAGACUGUCUGCAGGCAUGCAAAUAGUGAUAAAUAUGUUUGGUCUUCUACACAUUUGCUAAAAUCUAAGCUCUGGAUGCCAGGAAACCUAGGAGAGCUGGGUUUGUUUUUUCAAAAAUAAUCACCAUUACAUUUUUGAUCACUGAAGAUGCAGACUUAUUGGAAAAAGAAUGUUUGAUUACCGAAAUGUACAGAAAGUGAGAGUUUCCCAUAAUCAACCACCCCCAUAACCACUGUUAACCAAUGUAUCUAUGCAAUUAAUUGUGUUUUUACAAAAAUGAGAUAAUAUUGUAUAUGUUGUGUGAUUUCAAUUAAAAGUGUCUUUUAUCUCAAUACUUAGAGACAAUUUUCAGUCUUAAUCUUCUUCCUUAACAAACCAACGAAAACAAGAUGUGUAUUUCCUAGUGUACUGAUUAAUAAAGUUAUUUUAACAAAUUCCUGUCGAUGAAUACGUGGGUUGUUUCUGGUCCUUCACUGUCUCAGACAGACUGUAGUAAGCAUUCUUGUGUUGUGCAUGUGCAUGGGCACUUCUAGAUCUAUACUCCUGGAUACACGUCUAGGAGUCAAAUCACAUCCAUUUCUAAAAAUUCACAUAUAAAAAUUAUGUA
This 1713-nucleotide long non-coding RNA is filed under the name Equus caballus (horse). RNAcentral's name for it is "lncRNA (ENSECAG00000043417.2)". Lineage: Eukaryota; Metazoa; Chordata; Mammalia; Perissodactyla; Equidae. The record is from RNAcentral.